AGNAAGGCACUGAAAAUGCCAAGAUGAGUCGCACGACUCCAUAAACA
This 47-nucleotide transfer RNA is filed under the name Canis lupus familiaris (dog). RNAcentral's name for it is "partial tRNA-Phe". Lineage: Eukaryota; Metazoa; Chordata; Mammalia; Carnivora; Canidae. The record is from RNAcentral.